AUACGUAGGGGGCGAGCGUUGUCCGGAAUUAUUGGGCGUAAAGGGCGCGUAGGCGGCCCGGUAAGUCUGGAGUGAAAGUCCUGUUUUUAAGAUGGGAAUUGCUUUGGAUACUGUCGGGCUUGAGUGCAGGAGAGGUAAGUGGAAUUCCCAGUGUAGCGGUGAAAUGCGUAGAGAUUGGGAGGAACACCAGUGGCGAAGGCGACUUACCGGACUGGAACUGACGCUGAGGCGCGAAAGUGUGGGGAGCAAACAGGAUUAGAUACCCUGGUAGUCCACACUGUAAACGAUGAAUGCUAGGUGUAGGGGGUAUCGACCCCUUCUGUGCCGCAGUCAACACAAUAAGCAUUCCGCCUGGGGAGUACGGCCGCAAGGUUGAAACUCAAAGGAAUUGGCGGGG
Molecule: ribosomal RNA, 397 nt
Filed under: uncultured bacterium
Lineage: Bacteria
Description: partial 16S ribosomal RNA
Rfam family: Bacterial small subunit ribosomal RNA
Source: RNAcentral